This 2006-nucleotide long non-coding RNA is filed under the name Triticum aestivum (bread wheat). RNAcentral describes it as "long non-coding RNA (TAES_LNC015322)". Lineage: Eukaryota; Viridiplantae; Streptophyta; Magnoliopsida; Poales; Poaceae. The record is from RNAcentral.
GAAAAUAUUACUCACGGGAGGAAUUAAUCAUAUACUUAAUAAAAUUGUUGGAUUACAAUAGUGAUUGUUACAGCAGGAACUUCAUCUAAUGUGAUGUAUAAUCUAAAUAUUUUCUUGAUAGAAAACUUAAACUAAAAGCAUCCAUCACAUAUUCACAUCCCCACAACUUAUCUAAAACUUAACCGAGGAACAUCAUCCAACAUGAACAUCAUCCCUACAACUUAACUAAAACUGAAAGCAUCCAGCAUCAUCAUUAUCAUCAUGAACAGGAACGUCAUUAUCGUCAUUGCAGUAUACUUUCCACACACCCAUAUAAUCCUGCAUUUAUCUUUUGAAUCUACAAACAAAAAACAAAAAACAAAUUGAACUGUUAACUGAAGAAACUCAUCUACACUAGUUGAGUACUAUGUACUUCCUCUAGUAAAUCGCUGUGAAGAAACUCACCUUGUGAGAUCAAAUAUGAAGUAGUAUUAGUAAAUGUCAAGUUCAUCCUCUCCUCUGCUUGCAUGCCACAUACCUACACUGGUACACAUGCUAAUUAGCUCAAGUAAAUAGUUCUUUGAAAUUGAAAACAAACCAUGAUAAUUUUUGUGUUGUAAAUACAAUAGAACAACAAGUGUUUUUUGUGAUACAUAGUGACAUCCAUUUUACAAAUGGCAUAGAUAAUGAUGAGUAAAUAUUUUGUGGGCGACGAACAACUCUGGACCCAGAAAAGGAGGAUUGCAAAUCGAUAGUGUGUGUACUGUUAUAGGAAAAUCUUAUUGGGCAAACCAGACUAAUUUAUAUUGAAAUUGCUAAAAUAGUAACUAAUUUAUAGUGGAAUGGCUAAAAGAGUACCUUAAUCUUAUAGGGACAACUUGUAGGUGCGUAUUUCCUUGCAGUGCAUUUCAUGAGUACGGGCUCAUAGUACUGAAAAAUAGUAGUACAUCACAGGUCAAUCCUUGUAUUUAGUUUGUUCUUUCCCUUUCCGUAUGGAAUUUGCAAAACAAAAACGUCUGUUCUAUCCAUAUUUCAUACAUAUAAUAGGCAGAAUAGAACUUGUUCCUGACUUUUAGUGCGGAAUAGUAACCAAAAAAAUACAUCUAUAGAAGCACCGUGUCCUGAACUAAUGAUAACCACAAUACCAAUAUCCUUCUUAGUUGAAAAAGGCAAACUUCUAAUACAAAAAUAUUUCCCAUGAUUUUUUAAAUAGGAUACAUGGAGAUACCAUGUUACCACAAAGGCAGUAAAAAAGAUAAUACAAUUAUGCUUUAUUUGGUCUGAGAGUGCAUACGAGUAUAGAAUAUAAUUUGUAUUGGCCACUAUACUAGGAUAACAAUACAUCAGCUCCCAACUAUAAUAGAAGUACCUAUAUUAUUUUUGGGAAGUAAGGGAAAUCAUCUAACUUACCGCCAAAUAGUGGUUGAAAUAUUCAUCAUUUGGUACUAAAAACACCUUGUUGACGAUAUAGUCAUACAUAAUAAUCAUAUCUGACAAUCAGAACUUGAAGAUCAGCUUUUAUUUCAGAAGGGAAAAGACAACAAUCUGUAAAUAUAAAUCAAUGAGUAACCAUUAAAAAGGAAAAUAAAUAAUUCUGCUCAGUUUCAAAGCCAACAUGAUAUUACAUAAGAAACCAUAUACAUACCCUGCCUGCAGUAUGUGUACUGCAAGCCAUGCAUACUAAGUUAAGAUGUACAAUUGUAAAAGCCAUGUAUAUAUAGUGCGUGAUAUUCAACUUGAAUUACAAUCGCUUAUAUGUUGUGUUAAAUUAAUUGGUGCACUUUAUUGUUGUUUAAAGCAUAUCAAUUUGCAUAGUAUAGAGAAGCUCGAUCAUUACCCCUGCUGGAAAUGUUAUUGGACGAAAACGACAUCAGAAAGGCAGGAAGGCACAUGAAUGAAUCAGCAGCAUUCGUGUGCGUACUUUGCUGAAACUGGGAACCUCCGGAAAGCGAUGAAUUGCCAUCAGUCACCAAAGAGCUAAGACCAAAUGCUUGGGGCAGAGAAAUUUGUAGUACUGACUGGAAAGC